AAUGAACGCUGGCGGCAUGCCUUACACAUGCAAGUCGAACGGCAGCAUGACCUAGCUUGCUAGGUUGAUGGCGAGUGGCGAACGGGUGAGUAAUGCAUCGGAACGUGCCUUUUAGUGGGGGAUAACGUAGCGAAAGUUACGCUAAUACCGCAUAUUCUCUGAGGAGGAAAGCAGGGGACCUUCGGGCCUUGCGCUAGAAGAGCGGCCGAUGUCGGAUUAGCUAGUUGGUGAGGUAAAGGCUCACCAAGGCAACGAUCCGUAGCGGGUCUGAGAGGAUGAUCCGCCACACUGGGAAUGAGACACGGCCCAGACUCCUACGGGAGGCAGCAGUGGGGAAUUUUGGACAAUGGGCGCAAGCCUGAUCCAGCCAUGCCGCGUGAGUGAAGAAGGCCUUCGGGUUGUAAAGCUCUUUCGGCUGGGAAGAAAUCGCACCCUCUAAUACAGGGUGUGGAUGACGGUACCAGCAUAAGAAGCACCGGCUAACUACGUG
This 490-nucleotide ribosomal RNA is filed under the name uncultured bacterium. Its description in RNAcentral is "partial 16S ribosomal RNA". It matches the Rfam family "Bacterial small subunit ribosomal RNA", at positions 29 to 507 of the family's 1533-position model. The record is from RNAcentral.